RNAcentral lists this long non-coding RNA (1276 nucleotides) under Numida meleagris (helmeted guineafowl). Its description in RNAcentral is "lncRNA (ENSNMEG00000000698.1)". Lineage: Eukaryota; Metazoa; Chordata; Aves; Galliformes; Numididae. The record is from RNAcentral.
ACCCCGUGUCCUGAUGUGUGUCACCAGGGGCGUCACCCUGUGUCACCCCGUGCCCCUGGUGUGUCACCCUUCUGUCACCUUGUGUCCCCCCUAUGCGUCACCUCAUGUCCCUGGUGUGUGUCACCGUUACAUCCCCUGUGUCACCCUGUGUCCCUGUUCUCUGUCACCCCCCGUGUCCCUGUUGUGUGUCACUACUACGUCACCCGUGUCACCCCCUGACCCUGGUGUGUGUCACUGUUAUGUCACCCAUGUCACCCUGUGUCCUUGGUGUGUGUCACCCUUUUGUCACCGUGCACCGUUGGUGUGUAUCACCCUUUUGUCACUCCGUGUCCUGUCAUGUGUCACCCUGUGUCACCCCGUGCCCCUGGUGUGUCACCCUUCUGUCACCCUGUGUCCCCGCUAUGUGUCACCUCAUGUCCCUGGUGUGUGUCACCAUUACAUCCCCUGUGUCACCCUUCUGUCACCCUUGUGUCACCCCAUGUCCCUGGUGCGUGUCACCCAUAUGUCACCCCGUGUUCUGACGUGUGUCACCCUGUGUCACCCCAUGCCCCUGGUGUGUCACCCUUCUGUCACCCCAUGUCCCUGACAUGUGUCACCCUUCUGUCACCCUGUGUCCCUGCUAUGUGUCACCUCAUGUCCCUGGUGUGUGUCACCGUUACAUCCCCUGUGUCACCCUGUGUCCCUGUUCUGUGUCACCCUUGUGUCACCCCUUGUUCCUGGUGUGCGUCACCCUUAUGUCACCCUGUGUCCCUGACGUGUGUCACCUUUCCAUCACCCCAUGUCCCUGGUGUGUGUCACUCCCUGUCACCCAGUGUCACCCCAUGUCCCUGGCGUGUGUCACCCCCUGUCACCCAGUGUCACCCCAUGUCCCUGGUGUGUGUCACCCCCUGUCACCCAGUGUCACCCCAUGUCCCUGGUGUGUGUCACCUCCUGUCACCCCAUGUCCCUGGUGUGUGUAACCCCAUGUCACCCCAUGUCCCUGGUGUGUGUCACCCCGUCACUCCGUGUCACCCCAUGUCCCUGGCGUGUGUCACCCCGUGUCACCCCAUGUCCCUGGUGUGUGUCACCCCGUCACCCUGUGUCACCCCAUGUCCCUGGUGUGUGUCACCCCAUGUCCCUGGUGUGUGUCACCCCCUGUCACCCUGUGUCCCUGGUGUGUGUCACCCCCUGUCACCCAGUGUCACCCCAUGCCCCUGUCAUGCAUCACCCCCUGUCACCCCAUGUCCCUGGUGUGUGUCACCCCGUGUCACCCCAUGUCCCUGGUGUGUGUCACCCC